CAAAUAUCUUAGGCUACGAUCCAAGAAAAGAAAGUAGACACAAUAAGGAAUCUGUGAAAGGAAAGUUGAAGUAAUUCGGGUACCGGAAGCUCAAGAAAAGAGGUGAUAAGGAGCUUGUCGAGGAUGGGAGCGGACUCUAGAGCAGGUGCCAUAGACAAACCUCACCCGUCGUCUUCAACCCUUUGUUUUAAAAUG
Cucurbita moschata (crookneck pumpkin) is the source of this 195-nucleotide long non-coding RNA. RefSeq lists it as uncharacterized. The record is from RefSeq and is a predicted model, not a curated record. The transcript is spliced from 3 exons. NCBI's taxonomy places the organism in Eukaryota, Viridiplantae, Streptophyta, Magnoliopsida, Cucurbitales, Cucurbitaceae.